AUGCAGACGACAAUAGCAGACGACACGUACUGUACUCAUCGCGCGAUUUUUCAUACGGGGUGCGCUGCCCGUCUAGCAGACGACGUCAGAACAAAACAACAGCACAGCAGAAGCCUCGCCUCGAUCGCGCUCGCGCAGCACAGCAGCCAUCACCCCGUGUCAUCUCUGUUUUGAUGCGGAUAGCGUCACCAAAUUAUGUAUUGAUUCGGGCCAUGGGGUAGAGCCGCACGCUAUUCUCUCCUUCUCUUCAUGUAACCUUCAAACCCCCAUCCAGGCUAUGAAGAGGUCAAAAGAUAGAGUUGCUAUGCUCUCUCGCUGCGUUGGUGAAGCAGCACUCCUGCAAACUCUACCAUGCAAUUCAGAUAGUGUCACUUGUUGUGACUUUGGUGUCAAUUUCCUUUUUGCAGCUGGCUCGAGUGAGAAGAUUGUACGAGUAUGGGAAUGGGUCAAAGGCUCUGGCUUUGUCGAAGCGUCUUUUUCCCAUUUAGCUGGUCACCGAUAUGCCAUUACAAGCGUGCGUUUUUCUCCUUUGGGAACUAUGUUGGCAAGCUCCUCAUCAGAUGGAAGUACAAUGUUGUGGAACACAAGGACUGGCGUUCGUAUUCAUACAUUUGUUCAAACCAAUGGUUGUGCUGUACGCCUUAGUAUUUUUGCUCCAAACUCAUCAUUCCUUGUAAGUGCUGGUGAUGAUGGUGGAAUAUGUGUUUGGGACAUUUUGAGGCGUGCGUUAGUAAGGUCUGUUCAAGCUCAUGAUGCUACUAUUCAAGCUAUGUCAUUCAGUCCUGAUUGUAAAUAUCUCUUAACAUCUGACACUGUUGGUAUCCUUAAGUUGUGGAAAGAUUUGAUUGAACCCACUAGUGAUUUGGUUGAGGCUCCAAGUACAUCAGACUCUACUGAUACCCUAGUUUCUAUUGUGGAGGAUGCACAUGAUCUUGGAGUCACCGGGUCAGAUUUUGCUUCAAUUCAAGAAACGCCAGCUGACAAUGUCCUUGCGACCCGUUACACAUUGGCAACUUGUGGGAACAAUCAUUUGGUAAAGGUAUGGUCAUUUGUCGUAGUGCAUCCCUCUAAACAGUGGAACCCUCCGCACUCUCCAGCAUCAGGAUCUGGAAGGCAGAGUCUGGUUCCAACCCCCGAACUGGGAAGUCCAGUCAGCCCAAACAGCCUGGGUCCUCGAAGAGAGAAUAGUUUUAGGAUAAGGGAUAAGCGAGAGAGCAACGAAAGUCUCCGGAGAAGAGGAAGCAGUAUCAGGAGGCGACACAAGCAUUGUCAAGUUUCUCUCAAACUGACUUUGGAGGGGCAUGGAUCUGAUGUGACAUGCGUCAGAUUUAAUGCAAGUGCCACUCGCCUUGCAUCUUCUUCACUUGAUAAAACCGUACGAUUGUGGGAAAUUCCAAGUGGCACCUGUCUUCGGGUGUUGGAAGGUCAUACAAGAUAUGUAGCUUGCUGUGCAUUUUCCCGUGAUGGAUCUCUGCUUGCAUCUGGCUCAAAUGAUAAAACUAUCUUAAUGUGGGAUGUGAAAGGAAAACUGUCUUUGGAAACUGACCUGGCACCAUCCUUGAGCGCUUUUCGUGAUAAAUUAUCAGGAUCUAGCUUUGACAGUACUUGCGGACCUCCUGAUGCGUCAGUUCUGGAGGGAGGUCCAAAAUCCUCUGAGUCUCAUGCCACACUCCGUGAAGUCCAACUCUUGCAACGAAUUGAAUGUCCACAUGGAGCAGUCAACACUUGUGAUUUCUUUGGCAAUAACUUGUUGGCCUUCGGAGGAGGCGAUAAAAUGGUUCAUAUUUACUCCAAAAUUGAUGGAGGUCUGAGGUUUCAAGAAGCUGAAAAUGCUUCUCCCAUUGAAGCUCAUGCCUUUGCUGUGAACCAGGUAGAGUUUUCUCCUUGUGGAAAAUAUGUAGCCUCAUGCUCUGCUGAUGGAUGUGCAGUUCUCUGGGAUACUGAGACUGGCAAACGGGUGCCUGGUAAUUUUGGGACUGGUCGCAGUGCUAUUAGAACUUGUCGAUUUUCCCCUGAUGGCAAACUUCUUAUUUGUGCUGGUGAUGAUCAGACAACCAGUGCAUGGCGAACGGACACUGGAGAACUUUUCAUGUCUGUAGAAGGGCACAGUGAAGCUGUUACUGCUUUGGCCAUCUCCCCAGACAGCCAGUUUUUAGCCACCGCCUGCAGUGCUGGGCAUGUUCGAGGCUGGGCCAUUGUGUCAAUUUGGGACCAAUGUUUAAUGUUGCAGGAAGAUGCCCAUGAUCUGGGCGUUCAAAGCUGUGAUUUUUCUCCAUCAGCUGGAAUGUAUGGUUCUGAGAGCUAUUUGUUGGCAACUUGUGGCAAUGAUUCUAUGGUAAAAUUAUGGAAAGUGCCCAAGGACAUUUGUGCUCCACCCACACCAACUUCUCUGUUGCUGAGUGCACCGCCAGCCCCAGCCAGCCCGCUACGUUCUCCCAAACCCCCUCCAGGAGCAAAACUUGUGCGCACCUUUGUUGGUCAUGGGGGAAACGUAAUGUGUGUACGUUUCACUCCUGAUUCUGGGGAAUUUUUAGUUUCUACAGCCUCUGAUUCUACAGCUCGCAUAUGGAGUGUUCACUUGGGAGAUUGUCUUUUUGUGCUGGAAGGACACAAAAAACAUGUAACGUCAUGCACAUUUUCAUCUGAUUCUUCUCUUCUAGCUACAGUUGUUUUCUAUUUGUUGGGCAUGCUUUAUCAUCUUUUGCUUCAACCCUUUUUUUAAGAGACUUCUCGGAUCUCUUGACAAAUCUCUGAUUUUGUGGCUCCUUCCUGAUCAUCUUGUGUACCAGAGUGUCGCUGCUUCUCGUUUACGUGGUCAACCACUUUAUGCUCUCGACUGGACUCCUGAUGAUGUAAUAUCGUGGCUAAAGCGUU
Molecule: unclassified non-coding RNA, 2874 nt
Filed under: Thrips palmi
Lineage: Eukaryota; Metazoa; Arthropoda; Insecta; Thysanoptera; Thripidae
Description: uncharacterized WD repeat-containing protein alr3466- like, transcript variant X1
Source: RNAcentral